This 303-nucleotide ribosomal RNA is filed under the name uncultured bacterium. Its description in RNAcentral is "partial 16S ribosomal RNA". It matches the Rfam family "Bacterial small subunit ribosomal RNA", at positions 507 to 808 of the family's 1533-position model. The record is from RNAcentral.
AGCAGUAGCCCGGGAAAACGGAGGGUGCAAGCGUUAUCCGGAUUUAUUGGGUUUAAAGGGUCCGUAGGCGGAUCUGUAAGUCAGUGGUGAAAUCUCACAGCUUAACUGUGAAACUGCCAUUGAUACUGCAGGUCUUGAGUAAAUUUGAAGUGGCUGGAAUAAGUAGUGUAGCGGUGAAAUGCAUAGAUAUUACUUAGAACACCAAUUGCGAAGGCAGGUCACUAAGAUUUAACUGACGCUGAUGGACGAAAGCGUGGGGAGCGAACAGGAUUAGAUACCCGUGUAGUCCCUGUCUCUUAUACA